This 87-nucleotide transfer RNA is filed under the name Escherichia coli. RNAcentral's name for it is "tRNA-Leu". It matches the Rfam family "tRNA". From Rfam's summary of the family: Transfer RNA (tRNA) molecules are approximately 80 nucleotides in length. RNAcentral also lists the same sequence under 1 other name. Lineage: Bacteria; Pseudomonadati; Pseudomonadota; Gammaproteobacteria; Enterobacterales; Enterobacteriaceae. The record is from RNAcentral.
GCGAAGGUGGCGGAAUUGGUAGACGCGCGAGCUUCAGGUGUUAGUGUCCUUACGGACGUGGGGGUUCAAGUCCCCCCCCUCGCACCA